GACUUGGUAGCUCAGCUGGUAGAGCACAUCACUUUUAAUGAUGGGGUCCUGGGUUCGAAUCCCAGCCAGGUCA
Molecule: transfer RNA, 73 nt
Filed under: Flavobacterium sp.
Lineage: Bacteria; Pseudomonadati; Bacteroidota; Flavobacteriia; Flavobacteriales; Flavobacteriaceae
Also listed under: 14 other names
Description: tRNA-Lys
Rfam family: tRNA
About the family: Transfer RNA (tRNA) molecules are approximately 80 nucleotides in length. Their secondary structure includes four short double-helical elements and three loops (D, anti-codon, and T loops). Further hydrogen bonds mediate the characteristic L-shaped molecular structure. tRNAs have two regions of fundamental functional importance: the anti-codon, which is responsible for specific mRNA codon recognition, and the 3' end, to which the tRNAs corresponding amino acid is attached (by aminoacyl-tRNA synthetases). tRNAs cope with the degeneracy of the genetic code in two manners: having more than one tRNA (with a specific anti-codon) for a particular amino acid; and 'wobble' base-pairing, i.e. permitting non-standard base-pairing at the 3rd anti-codon position.
Source: RNAcentral